CAUAUGACUACUGGCAGGAUCAACCAGGUAGCAUUCCUUUGGGACAUGCACACACACUCGCAUGAGCCCCGCCAAACCGUGAGGCUGCGAGCUCAAAGACGAGCGUGGCCGUCGUUCGUGCUUUAGGUAGUUUUCCAUUGCUUCAUUGGAUGGAGGCCUCCGAGAGACCACCCACCAAUAGCACACGACAUUCCGUAUCAAAGAGCACGGGCAAAGAACCUCAUGGGCCAAAGCAGCUGCCUGAUUGGGCAAAGCAUGCUGGGAACACGAGGCUUGCCUAACGUCCACCCAAUCGCCCAUUAGGGAACGGGAUAGAGAGAAACAAACGAACCAUCGAAUUCCUUCCAACAGGGUAAGCAACACAG
This 365-nucleotide unclassified non-coding RNA is filed under the name Trattinnickia burserifolia. Its description in RNAcentral is "partial external transcribed spacer". The record is from RNAcentral. Lineage: Eukaryota; Viridiplantae; Streptophyta; Magnoliopsida; Sapindales; Burseraceae.